Etheostoma spectabile (orangethroat darter) is the source of this 573-nucleotide long non-coding RNA. RefSeq lists it as uncharacterized. Lineage: Eukaryota; Metazoa; Chordata; Actinopteri; Perciformes; Percidae. The record is from RefSeq and is a predicted model, not a curated record. The transcript has 3 exons.
AUGUGUUUGCUUGCAUGCUGUGUGCAGUAAACAUCUUAGAUAUACAGAAGGAUGAGCGCGUAGACACUGAUAGCACUCACCUUCUCAAGGCUGGCCAAAAUACAAAUGCUGGAACAGUUAAGUGCCGUUCUAGCUAAAUGGGAUCUUUGACUCAUAGAUAUGUAAAACCUACUUCGGAAACAAAUUUCUCUCAUUAUUUCAGCUUUAUCCCCACAUAUUGUGCAUUAGUGUUACAAGCAAAGGUACCCCAAAGCACACAAUGGCUGCUCAGUAUUUGCUGAUGUUUUUUUUUUUUUAACUAUUUCAAAGAAAUGUCAGCAAUUUACUGGAUCACUUAUAUCAGCCUCCCCACAUUCACAGGCGUGUGCAGAUGUGCACAAACAUCUGCUGAAUUAAUGUUCUGCUUUUGUAUUUCCUUUUUGUCUUUGUUCCUGUUUGAUGUUUCUUUCCUGUUUCUGUUGUGUAGCAUCAUUGAAUCUGGAUGUUUGUUAUCAUAAUUUCAGCCCACAACUUCUGCAGCAGUUUCCCAAGUCAUUUAAAUGCAAUAUGUGGUUGUGUGCUGUUAAUUAAUUA